UACGGCUCAGUAACACGUGGACAACCUACCCUUGGGACGUGGAUAAACCCGGGAAACUGGGUAUAAUCCGCGAUAGUUGUGGAUGCCUGGAAUGGCGCUACGACGAAAGCUCCGGCGCCCGAGGAUGGGUCUGCGGCCUAUCAGGUAGUAGUGGGUGUAACGUACCUACUAGCCUACGACGGGUACGGGUUGUGAGAGCAAGAGCCCGGAGAUGGAUUCUGAGACACGAAUCCAGGCCCUACGGGGUGCAGCAGGCGCGAAAACUUUACAAUGCUGGCAACAGCGAUAAGGGGACCUCGAGUGCCAGGUUACAAAUCUGGCUGUCGAGAUGCCUAAAAAGCAUUUCAUAGCAAGGGCCGGGCAAGACCGGUGCCAGCCGCCGCGGUAACACCGGCGGCUCGAGUGGUAACCGCUAUUAUUUGGUCUAAAGGGUCUGUAGCCGGCCGAAUAAGUCUCUUGGGAAAUCUGGCUGCUCAACAGUCAGGCUAUCAGGAGAUACUGUUCGGCUCGAGGCCGGGAGAGGUGAGAGGUACUUCAGGGGUAGGGGUGAAAUCUUGUAAUCCUUGAAGGACCACCAGUGGCGAAGGCGUCUCACCAGAACGGGCCUGACGGCAAGGGACGAAAGCUAGGGGCACGAACCGGAUUAGAUACCCGGGUAGUCCUAGCCGUAAACGAUACUCGCUAGGUGUCGGCCACGGUGCGACCGUGGUCGGUGCCGUAGGGAAGCCGUGAAGCGAGCCACCUGGGAAGUACGGCCGCAAGGCUGAAACUUAAAGGAAUUGGCGGGGGAGCACUACAACGGGUGGAGCCUGCGGUUUAAUUGGAUUCAACGCCGGGAAGCUUACCGGGAUCGACAGCAAUAUGAAGGCCAGGCUGAAGACCUUGCCGGAUUCGCUGAGAGGUGGUGCAUGGCCGUCGUCAGUUCGUACUGUGAAGCAUCCUGUUAAGUCA
RNAcentral lists this ribosomal RNA (951 nucleotides) under uncultured archaeon. Its description in RNAcentral is "bacterial SSU rRNA". It matches the Rfam family "Archaeal small subunit ribosomal RNA", at positions 84 to 1036 of the family's 1478-position model. The record is from RNAcentral.